This 1619-nucleotide ribosomal RNA is filed under the name bacterium. RNAcentral's name for it is "bacterial SSU rRNA". It matches the Rfam family "Bacterial small subunit ribosomal RNA", at positions 34 to 778 of the family's 1533-position model. The record is from RNAcentral.
AGCUCGGAGGCUUAUCAAAAAAGCUUCGGGCCAAGUUGUAAGUUGGAGGUUUAGUGUUGGUAGUUGUAUAGCGGCAGACGAGGUAGUAACACGUAGGUAGAUCCCCAGAAGUCGGGCAUAGCCAGUCGAAAGACUGGGUAAUUCCCGAUAGUCCCGAAAGGGUAAAGGUUUUUCGCUUCUGGAGUUGCCUGCGUAGUAUCAGCUAGUUGGUAGGGUAACGGCCUACCAAGGCUACGACGCUUAGGGGAGCUGAGAGGCUGACCCCCACCGAUGGAACUGCGAACGGUCCAUACUCCUACGGGAGGCUGCAGACGAGAAUAUUCCGCAAUGGACGAAAGUCUGACGGAGCGACGCCGCGUGAUUGAUGAAGUGCUUCGGUACGUAAAGAUCUUUUAUCGGGGACGAAAUUAUUGACGGUACCCGAUGAAUAAGGGGCUCCUAACUCUGUAAAUUGAAAAGUUAGGAGUAACUUCUGUUAGAAAACCGCUGUGCAGCAAUCUCGAGUAAUUGAGAUUGAAAACUUGGCUAUAUGCUGGAACUCUCUUGUGGACUGCGUCCUGUUUUUUCUUCGGAAAGAGCGGGAUCCCAAGAGACAAUCAGCAGGGAAGUCGGGUAUACUAAGUGAAUGAUCUGUGCGAUCUCUAAUCAGCAACGAGAUGUCCUUGUCGGCCUGAUGCUCGGAGAUGGAAGUCUCGAGUUUAACGGCUAUCGAGGGACUCGGUUGCAAGUAAAACAAUCAGAAGAGAAGAGGGAAUAUGUGUUCUGGCUCUACAACCAGUUCGCGCAUAUAACUAAGACUCCUCCGCAACAGCGAUCAGAUACGAGACAGUGGUAUUUUGGGACGCGAUUCUUCGAGAAUCUUGAAGAGUUGCGCAAUAUCUUCUACGCAAGGCGUACGAAGGUGGUGCCAGAAAAUAUUACUGAAUUGUUUCAGUCGCCGCUAACACUCGCGGUGUGGUUCAUGGAUGAUGGGCAUCUCGAUUAUCGAGCGAAGUCACAUUAUGCUUACCACAUCAGCACUGAUUCUUUUACAGAAUCGGAAGUGCGAAUGUUGCAAAAAUUGUUAUUAGAGAAAUUCGGUAUCGUGGCAAAGACCUAUUUGUCAUUGUGUCGGGGAAAGAAGUAUCCGAAGCUUUAUAUCGGGAAAGAAGGUCGUGAUAUGUUUACCAAAACAGUCGCCCCGUACAUCCUGCCAUGCUUCAGUUAUAAAAUGCCCCCAGAUCACCAAAAGUAUAUCUUGACCCCUCAGAGACUACACGCCGAGCCCCAUCAGGUCUGAUGGAUGAUGAUAUAGUCCGAUCCUCAUAGCGAUAUGAGGGCAUACUAAAGUGGUAUGCCAACAAAAUGGCCAGCAGGAGCGGUAAUACAGAGGCCCCAAGCAUUACCCGGAAUCACUGGGCGUAAAGGGUGUCUAGGCGGCCAUAUUAGUCUCUCGUUAAAUCUGUGGGCUCAACCUGCAGUCUGCGGGGGAAACGGUAUGGCUCGAGGGCGUGAGAGGUGCAUGGAACUCAUGGUGGAGGGGUGAAAUCCGUUGAUAUCAUGGGGAACACCAAAGGCGAAGGCAGUGCACUGGUACGUUCCUGACGCUCAAACACGAAAGCCAGGGUAGCGAACGGGAU